CAGCAGCCGCCGCGGGAAUACGUAGGUGGCGAGCGUUGUCCGGAAUUAUUGGGCGUAAAGGGAGCGCAGGCGGACAUAUAAGUCCAUCUUAAAAGUGCGGGGCUCAACCCCGUGAGGGGAUGGAAACUGUAUGCCUUGAGUGUAGGAGAGGAAAGCGGAAUUCCCAGUGUAGCGGUGAAAUGCGUAGAUAUUGGGAGGAACACCAGUGGCGAAGGCGGCUUUCUGGACUGCAACUGACGCUGAGGCUCGAAAGCCAGGGGAGCGAACGGGAUUAGAUACCCGUGUAGUCCCUGUCUCUUAUACA
RNAcentral lists this ribosomal RNA (304 nucleotides) under uncultured bacterium. RNAcentral describes it as "partial 16S ribosomal RNA". It matches the Rfam family "Bacterial small subunit ribosomal RNA", at positions 506 to 809 of the family's 1533-position model. The record is from RNAcentral.